UACAGAGGGUGCGAGCGUUAAUCGGAGUAACUGGGCGUAAAGGGCGCGUAGGCGGUGAGAUGUGUGUGAUGUGAAAGCCCCGGGCUUAACCUGGGAAGUGCAUCGCAAACUAUCUGACUAGAGUAUAUGAGAGGGUGGUGGAAUUUCCGGUGUAGCGGUGAAAUGCGUAGAGAUCGGAAGGAACGUCAAUGGCGAAGGCAGCCACCUGGCAUAAUACUGACGCUGAGGCGCGAAAGCGUGGGGAGCGAACAGG
This 253-nucleotide ribosomal RNA is filed under the name uncultured bacterium. RNAcentral describes it as "partial 16S ribosomal RNA". It matches the Rfam family "Bacterial small subunit ribosomal RNA", at positions 524 to 776 of the family's 1533-position model. The record is from RNAcentral.